RNAcentral lists this ribosomal RNA (479 nucleotides) under uncultured microorganism. RNAcentral describes it as "bacterial SSU rRNA". It matches the Rfam family "Bacterial small subunit ribosomal RNA", at positions 346 to 816 of the family's 1533-position model. The record is from RNAcentral.
GUGCAGCAGGCGCGAAAUUUGGGCAAUGGCCGAAAGGCUGACCCAGCGACGCUGCGUGUGGGAUGAAGCCCUUCGGGGCGUAAACCACUUUUCAGAAGGACGAGGGUUCAUCCGGCGAAUACCCGGACGGAUUGACGGUACUUCUGGAAUAAGCUCUGGCUAACCCCGUGCCAGCAGCCGCGGUAAGACGGGGAGAGCAAGCGUUGCCCGGAAUCAUUGGGCUUAAAGGGGGCGUAGGCGGUUAGGUGUGUCAGACGUGUAAACUAUCGGCUCAACCGAUAGCCUGCGUUUGAAACUACCUAGCUCGAGGGCGAAGGAGGAGAGCGGAACUCCCGGUGUAGCGGUGAAAUGCGUAGAUAUCGGGGGGAACACCAGCAGCGAAGGCGGCUCUCUGGUUCGCUCCUGACGCUGAGGCCCGAAAGCCAGGGUAGCGAAGGGAAUUAGAUACCCGGGUAGUCCCUGAGACUACCAAGGCACAC